RNAcentral lists this ribosomal RNA (203 nucleotides) under uncultured bacterium. Its description in RNAcentral is "partial 16S ribosomal RNA". It matches the Rfam family "Bacterial small subunit ribosomal RNA", at positions 328 to 544 of the family's 1533-position model. The record is from RNAcentral.
ACGCUCGACACCUACGUGAGGCAGCAGUGGGGGAUAUUGCACAAUGGAGGAAACUCUGAUGCAGCGACGCCGCGUGAGGGAAGAAGGUUUUCGGAUUGUAAACCUCUGUCUUCGGUGACGAAAAUGACGGUAGCCGAGGAGGAAGCCACGGCUAACUACGUGCCAGCAGCCGCGGUAAGUACUGAGGCGGGCGUGGCGAAGCG